Molecule: long non-coding RNA, 5363 nt
Filed under: Manduca sexta (tobacco hornworm)
Lineage: Eukaryota; Metazoa; Arthropoda; Insecta; Lepidoptera; Sphingidae
Description: uncharacterized LOC115447432, transcript variant X5
Source: RNAcentral
AGCCAGGAGUACCACUUACCUGGCUGCAAGUCUUCCCCCUUAUGGAGGAACACUACGACCCGUUCCUCCCAGCGAGAACCCCCCGACACUAAACAUCAUGCGCAUGGAACUAUAAGAAUCAGUUCACUUGGAUUCAUCGCCUAGGAAGACAUCACCAUUUGCCACUUCAUACCAACAUCGCACAGUUAACCAUCACUCAGAACCAGUUUGGCUUACAUAUGAAUACCGACAAAGCAAGCAAGAUUUUCCCGGCACUACUGCAAAGAAACCGGCAUAUGUCACCGCACCUGCGUCCUGCCACACAAAUCUGAAAAGUAAAAUGAAUGCGCAAAGAUCUGAUUUAUUGGCAACACAAUAUUCUGGAAACUAGCUUAUUGCCGAUCAUCAAUUGUCGGGGGGAAAGGGGGCCGCGGCAGCCAGGCAGACCACCCGCCUGGCUGAAGAUUUACCCCAUCAUGGAGGAACACUGCCACCCGUUCCUCCGCACAGUUUCACCGCAUCGUCUCGAAUACGCAGCAGAAGAUUACGCCACAACUAUUUUACCUAUUACUACUAAAAUAGUAUAUUCUGCUUCCUGCGUUCCAAGCUUGGUGGAGCUUGACGAUUACUUCAUAGAGUCAUAAACAUGGAAAGACAUCAUGGACUGCGACUAGACGAGGGGCAGCAACUGUAGCAGCUUCAGUAUCCAGCGAUCGCUGGCUACCAAGAGGGUCGCGCGGUGACGGUGAGCAGUCACAAGUUGUUGCUUGGAGAAGGAUUAGACAGAAGAAUUCUUCUCAUCACUAGUCUGCAAGCAGCGAUCGCCAAAUAUACAACAUAAAGAAGAGACGUCAGAGCUGCGGUGCAGAGACUAUUUGGAAGAGAGACAGAACCGAAGAAGACGAUCUUCCGCGGGCUUACAUUGUAGAUUUAAGGCGUUCUUUUGUAAAACACCUAAUGUACCUAAUAUAAGUGUUGUAAGCUACCAUUUACAACACUGAUAUGACAUGCGUUGAAUUAGUAUUAAGGUAUUUUUGUAAUAUUCGACAUAAUGUCAACAUUUUUAUUCCGAGUUACAAGUCUCUCGUUGUUCGGUUCACUUAUUUUUUUCAAAUUGUUAUCGGAUUUCUCUAUUCACAUUUACGGCAAUUAUUGGCAUAACACUGAGAAGGAAGGGGCAUGCAUGAGGUGCUUAGCUCUGUGUUUCCUCCGGUACCGAUGUGUUCCAUAAUACUUUAUUGUACAUGCUCCUCUUCAGGAGCUUACCUAUUGGUAAGCUCCUGAAGAGGAGAAUGUAGUAUUCUGUUUGCAGCAUUAGUUUCUACUAUCUAAACUACGUGUUCGGUGAUCGUACUCGGAUGAGACCAAUUAGCUGUGUGCGGUCCCACAUCUCACCAGAGUCUGCGUCUGCAGCGGUAAAUGGAAACUUCAGCUCGGACCUCAAGAGCACCUCGCCGGCGCUCUCGGCGGCGACUCUUCACGACUAGCGCAGAUCUUCCAGGUCCUAUCAAACACAAAGUGACAAGCGUCGAUGAAGGCGGUAGUACUGCGGCGGCGGUCUUCGCAGAACAGCUGGCGACGAGCUGGUGGUCGCGUCUGUGUCCUGGAGUCAGCCACACACGUGGCACACGUGGCACGCCAGGAUCACUGACGUCACGUAGCGGCGCGUGAUGCAUCAGGCACGCGUCCGCGUGGUCGGAGGCCAGCUCGCCAGGACACCCGCGUGGGUGAGGGGCGCCAACCGUUGCGCUACCCAAAUGUACGGAGUGAGCGCCCACACCUCAUGCGAUGGGGCCGCAGAAUUGUAAUAAUUAUAGAUAUCCAUAUGAGUUUAGGUUCGCGGAAAAAUUACAAUCGCAAAAUAUACAAGUUGUUUGUCUCUAUUUACUGCGAAAAUUCCUACAUUUUGUAUUGUACCUAUUUUGAUAUGGAUCAUAAUUGUUAAAUGUAUUUUCUAUGUUUUUCUUACAGCGUUGUAUAAAAAGUAAACAACAUAACCUUAAUGUGCAAUAAAAUUUUAAAUGAUGUGUGUUUUAUUACAUUUAGUUACGGCAGUAUUUAACAUUAAAUUUGUUUCAUAUACCGUGUUAAUAUGUAUUUAUUACAUUUGUAAUAAAUAGUAUUUGCCAUUAUUUCGUUUCCCUUAAACAUUUUUACAUGUUAUACUAUGACUUACUUAUUGCCUUUUAUUACAGCUUGCGGUUGGAAACUUUUUUGUGAUUUAUACUUACAACACUGAUUUGUUACUAAUAUUAAUGUUGUAAUAUGAAUGUACUUUUUAUAUGCAAUACAAUAAGUUGUUUUUCUUUGUAUUUUAGAAUAACUUAAUUUAUAAGAAACUAGUAGAACACUUAUGCAAAUAUGUCAUGAUUAUACUUACCUUUUUCCAAAUGACACCUUAGCUCGAACACGUAAAAUAAGGCUGAAUAUAACAUCAGUAAAUAAUAUUGCAGCAAACUUAAGAUGGCUCCCAUCCUGUCUGAUACGCUAGCGUCAGUUUUUGAAAAGGCCCUAUAAUCUAAGAUCUCGUACAGAAUAUUUAUUAUCUGCAUCUGUUGCCUUACUGUGCUGCACUAUGUGCAUUCUUUUGUCCUUAGUGUCCAGUCUGCGCUACUCUGCGAAUACUCCUGCGCUCUUCACUCCUCUCGCCUCGGCAGCGUCUGAGGCACAUCGCUACUGUGCAAAGUCCUGUCUGUAGAACUGAAGUACUUCAAUAAACUUCCAACCAGUCCCGCCAUGUUCUGAACGCUCCUAGGCGUGCGCCGCGAUGUGAACGUCUCUUUAUAGACCGUGCUGGCACUCCGGGCCGGAGACCACUUCAGCGCCAGUUUCCGGUCGCGACCGAGGGUCUCCUCUUCCGGCACUGGCAUCAGAGCACAGCACGCCUGUGAGCUGCACCACCACUAGCGGGCCACCUGACACUCAUAUUAAAAGAACUCAUUUUGAGCACGCUGGUGGAAUGGAGGUAAAGGAAUCACGUAUCUCGAAACCGGAGACAGCACAUCUAGUGUCAGCACUAGUUAAUGAAACAGUCGUAAGUACAUAAUGCGAGUUCCUGGUCCUCGUCGACAUAUAAUGUUUAAAACUACAGUCCGUACCACUAACCCAUAUACAUUGGAAUUGAAUUCGUCUACAAACUGUUAUCGAACACUGAGAUCAUGAAAACCGUCGGCAGGAAAUAGACCAAAACCUCUGUCAAGGUCCUUCCUAAUCGAAACAAUCAAAAUAUUCCGCCGCUAGACUUAAAGCAAUCUUAAUGAGCACUGACAUCGCCAAUCCCCGUGUUUAGGGCGAGAUGUUUGUGGGAAAUGAAUUUGACAUGAUUAAAAAUAUUGUCGUCACUCGUGAGACAGCAGCUUAAUGUAGUCAUGGACAGCAAUGUCAAAGCAAGAAUUUGCGGGGCAUUAAGAGACAGUAACUAAGAUCUCAGGGUGACAAGCACAGUGCUGUUGCUACUGUUUAUUGACAGUUGUGACGGUUAGCGUCAGGCGCACAACUUGCUUGUAUUAUCUUUCACUUCUUUAAGAAAAGCUACUGGGAAUGGGAUGCUUUUGCACAAAGGUAGGAAAGGAGAGCAAAAUCAAAAGAAUCAAUGCACGGAAGGUGUUGAAUGAAACAUAGUCAAGGCAACUUUCACUCACUACCGUUUAGUUCAUUCACUUUUAAUAAUUAUGUAAAGUAUUGUCACCCAUCGCCACGUUUAUACCACAGUGUGAUGUCUGUUAUGGUACGUGGCUGUACGAAAGCAUGCAAGCGAAGCCAGGUAUCUUCUGACAGUGAUUAGUAAUAUGUACUUAGCACCAAUGAACUUACACAGUUACCCGCAUACGUUCAUAUUCAUGUAAGCAUGCUUUUUAUAGCACGUUAUUUCAGGCACAAAGCAUGUACGCUACAAGUUGUUUUAUAAUUAUUAUGUGUUAGUAUACGCAAAACUUGUAAAAAAAUUGUCAGUAACGCAUUCAUGUCACCAACAUGUCUUAUACUGCAUAAUUCUGACCAGUAAACUACGCAACAUGUAUAAUACAUGCUUCUGACAUGUCGAGUUUGAGCAAGUUUCUGACAAACUGCAUACAUGCUUUAACAAAACCAACUUUUGGUUUAAACGAGGUGAUUUGCAUUUAUAAUCAAAUAAUAUUAUCUUUAUUCACUCAAAACUUCCAAACUGCUGGAAGAGUAGGUUUGAGAAGUUUCAACAUAUUUAGUGGUUAUUACUAGUAAUGUAAGUCACUUUACGACUUUGUUUAACUGCCCUCAAUGUAGCGAAUGGGCAUGAUUGGUUGCUGUUUAAUAAAGUACAGCACUUAGUUCUGACGUAUUUUAGAUGAGUGUCACAUUACAAGACAUGCUCUAUCGCAUAUGAGGAUGAUGUAUAGAUUAUAUAUAAAUGUACGAGAUGAGUGUCCGGUUGGAACUCACGGCAUAGUUAGCGUAAGUAAACAUAGUUGUAAUCAGACUGCACGUGGCCACAACUGCAGCGAAACCGUAGUUUGUGUUUAAAUACUUAUCAUGUAACGAAGCGUUAUGAUUGUUUGACGGAGUAUAGUAAUUAUUGCGUUUGUGUGUUAUGUUGGUGAUAAGUAGUGACGCGUAUGUACAAUGAUCAUUGUCUACUUUAUAUUUACUAUGUGUGUACUAACUGUAAUUUUAUAAUAUAUUUUUGUAUGUAUGUGUGUUUUAUAGCGUUUAUAAAAUAAUCAUGUAAAAUUAAAAUAAGUGGCAGGAGCCAUUAUUCAAUUCACAUAUAGUCAACGCUAUAAGUUUACGAAUAAAUCCAAAUGUAUUAUGUUAUUUGUGUGUGUAUCCAAAUAUGUAUUGUAUUUGUAUCCAAAUGUAGUAUGAUAUUACUAUAUCCGCCUUUAGGAGACAUACAUCGGCGGAUUAUACAAGAGCUAAACAUCUAACCAAGCUUACACUACAAAUUUCGGAGAACUUGAAACAAAUGUACUGUACAAUGCAAUGUGGAAUGCACUGCACAAGUUCUGUUGUACACUGCACAAUGCACUGCGCAUCGCACAAAGCAUUAAAUUACAACGUUGAGCUAAUUAAACACACCGCGCAUUAUUUGUGUAAUAAUUUUACUGCACUAUAAAUUGUGUACUAAAACUGAAACCCAAAUCCUAAUGCUUGUCAGUGUCACAGAUCUUAACACAUUGAUAUACAUUCAAUCAGGUUCACCAAUUUGAUCAACUACUUAUUUAUAAUUGUUCUUGUUCGUUGAUCAACAUUAAAGUACUUACCUACUUUUAAUUACAUCCAAAUGGAUAAUUGUGAAUGUUUAUCGAUUUGAAAUGUCAAUGAAAAUCGUGUGUAAUGUAUAUUGGAAAAAUAAAUAUAUUCGAACUAUUAACCUUUGAGUAUUCUAUUAAAUAUUCUGUGAUUACAAA